GACGAAGGAUGCAAGCGUUAUCCGGAUUCAUUGGGUUUAAAGGGUGCGUAGGCGGCCUUGUAAGUCAGUGGUGAAAGCCUGUUGCUUAACAACAGAACUGCCAUUGAUACUGCAGGGCUUGAGUACAGAUGCUGUGGGCGGAAUAUGACAUGUAGUGGUGAAAUACUUAGAGAUGUCAUAGAACACCGAUUGCGAAGGCAGCUCACAAAACUGUAACUGACGCUGAGGCACGAAAGUGCGGGGAUCAAACAGG
RNAcentral lists this unclassified non-coding RNA (253 nucleotides) under uncultured Sphingobacteriales bacterium. RNAcentral describes it as "contains 16S-23S intergenic spacer region". It matches the Rfam family "Bacterial small subunit ribosomal RNA", at positions 524 to 776 of the family's 1533-position model. Lineage: Bacteria; Pseudomonadati; Bacteroidota; Sphingobacteriia; Sphingobacteriales. The record is from RNAcentral.